CCUACGGGUGGCAGCAGUGGGGAAUAUUGGGCAAUGGGCGCAAGCCUGACCCAGCAACGCCGCGUGAAGGAAGAAGGCUUUCGGGUUGUAAACUUCUUUUGACAGGGAAGAGCAGAAGACGGUACCUGUCGAAUAAGCAUCGGCUAACUCCGUGCCAGCAGCCGCGGUAAUACGGAGGAUGCGAGCGUUAUCCGGAUUUAUUGGGUUUAAAGGGUGCGUAGGCGGAUCGUUAAGUCAGUGGUCAAAUUGAGGGGCUCAACCCCUUCCCGCCAUUGAAACUGGCGUUCUUGAGUGGAAGAGAAGUGUGCGGAAUGCGUGGUGUAGCGGUGAAAUGCAUAGAUAUCACGCAGAACCCCGAUUGCGAAGGCAGCAUGCCGGCUUCCGACUGACGCUGAAGCACGAAAGCGUGGGGAUCGAACAGGAUUAGAUACCCGAGUAGUC
Molecule: ribosomal RNA, 441 nt
Filed under: uncultured bacterium
Lineage: Bacteria
Description: partial 16S ribosomal RNA
Rfam family: Bacterial small subunit ribosomal RNA
Source: RNAcentral